This is a non-coding RNA of Heterocephalus glaber (naked mole-rat), 1563 nucleotides long. The record is from RefSeq and is a predicted model, not a curated record. Lineage: Eukaryota; Metazoa; Chordata; Mammalia; Rodentia; Bathyergidae.
CAUGGGAAGCAGGGGCUGAGCCAUCACCCACAGGUGCAGAUUCUCUAGGUGAGAGUUACCAUCACGUGUGCCUGAAAUGUACCAAGAAAUGUUUUGCUGUUAAAAAAGGAAGUUACCUUAUCUCUGACCUUCUUAUUAAGUGAGCUAAUUAUUUCUUACUGUUUAAUGCCAUUUGAGUCCAGGUUGUUUCUUACUUAUAAUUGGAAAACUUGAAGGAUACUAAUGAGGUACAUGUAGAGAGAGGGAGGGAGGGGAAGAGAGAGAGAGAGAGAGAGAGAGAGAGAGAACGAGGCCUGAUUUGCAGAAGUGGGUAUUCGUUUGAUUUUUGCCCUUUCUAUAUUUUUUGUAUUUUUCUAUAUUUUCUGCAUUUUCUAUAACAAACUUAAAUUGUUGUUGUGAAUAAAGUGGAAAGGAAUUCUUAAAAACUAGGCAAAGGUGGGGUAAAUGUGUAGGUGCUGAUCUCAGACUCUUGGAAACCUCUGGAUGGAAGAUCAUUGAGAACUGGCGCUGCUCCAGGUAGUGAAGGGAAGGCUUCCAGGAGGAGCCAUAGGACAGAUUCUAGGACAGGGAGUGUCAGGGCCCUCAAUCCACUGUUCCUCAUGCGGCUGAGCACCUUCAGGACUGCACCAUCUCUUCCACACCCGAUGCUCUGCACAGAGAUCUGACAUUAAAUACGUGCAGCUGCCCUCAACGAUGUCACUGGGAAGGAAGAUGGUGGGAUGUUAGAAGGAAGGAGACCACCCGGGCGAGAGAGCUUGUGAUUGACAUUGCCCCAAGACUGCAAAGAGAGAAGUGAGCCUGUCUCUCAUGCUGCUGUCCACCCCUCUGCUCCACCUCAAAGCCUGAAGUCCGAAAGCAGCAGCUUUUCAGAGUAAAGUACCAUUAAGGCCAACUUGGUCCAAAUACGCACACAUAGCUUUGUGGAAAGGAUCAGCAUCAUGUCGUUAUUUGUUAUUUGCAUACUGUUCUUUGCCCUUAAGAAAAAUUCAGCAUUGCCCAAUAAAUCUGGGCACAGCAAAUAGCUCUUGGUUCCCACAGACAGAGGAACUUAAACCCACACUUCUUGUCCUGGAGCAGCGGAGGACACGACCGCGGGGUGACCUUUAAAAUGUAGGGCUUUCGUUAGGUUGACCUGAACGCUUGUCUUCCAAUUUGGGGCAGAAUAUUUGUAUAUUGAGAUCUUCGAAUUGUACCAGGACAGCAAGAAAGGGAGCAUCUAAUUUUCUCCCCCUCUAGGAAGGGUCCAGGCCAGGAGUGGCACAAUUUUUGUGCAAAGAAAAAGUUAGUAUUUUUGGCUUUGCAAACCCAACGGUCUCAAAAAGCUCAAAAUAAAUAAAUAAGUAAAUAAAAUCAGUCUAAAAUAGGUAUUGUUGUUACCUGUUGGGGGUUUCUGUAACUUCCUGAAGAGGAAUGAUCUUAUCAGGCCAUGCACAUUUUUUCUCAUUUCUUUAUUUUUUUGGUACUGGGGAAGGAAUCAAACUCGGAACCUUGUGCUUUUGAGGCAGGUGGCAGAACCACUGAGCUAAAUCCCAGCCCCAUGCACAUUUUAAGAAAUUAAAAUUA